GCGCGCCUGGCGGAACAGGCAGACGCGCCGCCCUCAAAAGGCGGUCCCCGAAAAGGGGGUGCGGGUUCGACUCCCGCGGCGCGCA
This is a non-coding RNA of Stylosanthes scabra, 85 nucleotides long. The record is from the annotation of a GenBank genome assembly. Lineage: Eukaryota; Viridiplantae; Streptophyta; Magnoliopsida; Fabales; Fabaceae.